This 253-nucleotide ribosomal RNA is filed under the name uncultured bacterium. Its description in RNAcentral is "partial 16S ribosomal RNA". It matches the Rfam family "Bacterial small subunit ribosomal RNA", at positions 524 to 776 of the family's 1533-position model. The record is from RNAcentral.
UACGAAGGGAGCUAGCGUUGUUCGGAAUCACUGGGCGUAAAGCGCACGUAGGCGGAUGUGUCAGUCAGGGGUGAAAUCCCGGAGCUCAACUUCGGAACUGCCUUUAAGACUGCAUCGCUAGAAUUGUGGAGAGGUGAGUGGAAUUCCGAGUGUAGAGGUGAAAUUCGUAGAUAUUCGGAAGAACACCAGUGGCGAAGGCGACUCACUGGACACAUAUUGACGCUGAGGUGCGAAAGCGUGGGGAGCAAACAGG